Heterocephalus glaber (naked mole-rat) is the source of this 282-nucleotide long non-coding RNA. RefSeq lists it as uncharacterized. NCBI's taxonomy places the organism in Eukaryota, Metazoa, Chordata, Mammalia, Rodentia, Bathyergidae. The record is from RefSeq and is a predicted model, not a curated record.
UCCACUCCUGCAUGGGACACCUGAUCUUACACCUUCUAAGCUCUGCAGGGAGGAAGUGCUGGGUGGAAGAUUUUUUGUUUCAUGAGAGUCCUGUGCUUUCUUCAUGAACUGAAGUAAACUAUUAGAUCACUUCAAAGACUGUAAUUUGAAAGAAGAAAAAGAAACAGGAUAUAUGUGUGGCAUUACAACAAUAUAAGCAGAAUAUGAGUGGAAGCAAUGUGAUGGACAUUUUUAAAGACUGUAUAUUUUCUUGGUUAACACUCUGAGUGAACACAACGGAAU